This 162-nucleotide unclassified non-coding RNA is filed under the name Lecanosticta tecunumanii. Its description in RNAcentral is "Internal trancribed spacer region 1". Lineage: Eukaryota; Fungi; Ascomycota; Dothideomycetes; Mycosphaerellales; Mycosphaerellaceae. The record is from RNAcentral.
AAAUACUGAAAGACCUCCCCUCCGGGGGAGUGAUUUUCAAACCCUUGUGAACAAAACUCUGUUGCUUCGGGGGCGACCCCGCCGUCUCGGCGGUGGUGCUCCCGGUGGCCAUCUAUCAAACUCUGCAUUACCUUGCGUCGGAGUCUUAUAAAGAAUUAAACA